RNAcentral lists this long non-coding RNA (21485 nucleotides) under Populus tremula. RNAcentral's name for it is "long non-coding RNA (PTRE_LNC001696)". The record is from RNAcentral. Lineage: Eukaryota; Viridiplantae; Streptophyta; Magnoliopsida; Malpighiales; Salicaceae.
UCGAUCAAAUAACCUAUCAACUUCUUCCUUGCAAUCAUAUCAUCUUCAGCAAAUAAUGCACAGUAUAAGAGACAUCGUUGUAGUGCUAAAUCACCUAACCGAUCAUAACUAAACCUCAAUAACCUGAAUACUUUCUCAUCUAUGUCCCUAAAUUCUGAUUCUCUCAAUUUGUUCAAUGUAUUUCUCCACUCAUGGGGGUCAUCCACUCCCCUCAAGCUUCUUGCUACUGUAAUAAUUCCCAACGGCAAACCAGCACAUUCCUUUGCAACAGCUUUUGCAAUCCCUUCCACUUCUCGCGAAAGUGCUAUGUCACGUCCAAGUUUCUCCAUGAACAAAGUCCAAGCUUCUCCAUCAAAAAGUGGCUUCACUUUGAUUUUACAAUGGCAAGCCAUCUGAUUACAAACCAUUUCUGAUCGAGUUGUCAUAAUCAGCUUGCAUCCUUCCAACUUCUUAGGAAUUCCCACUCUGUGUAGCUCAAAAUUGUUCCACAAAUCAUCUAGAAUGAGAAUCCAUUUUUGUUUCUUCCUUAGUUCUUCUGAAAAUUUGGCAGGUCUGAGUUGAACAUCAUCUUCGCUUGAAAGAUCUAGAUGAAGAUGUUUAGCAAUAAGAUUCUGCAAUCUAUUAAUGCUGAAAUCUUGAGACACAGUCACCCACCAAACAUGAUCACAGAUAUCUUGUCUUUGUAGAAGCUCAUUAUGGAUAUGUUGCAGUAUUGUUGUUUUACCAACCCCCCCCAUCCCAUAAAUGCCAAUGGUUGAGACUUCAUCAUCCAUUAACAAAGACCAUAUCACCUUCGUAUUCUCUUCAAAUGCUCGACCCACUAGCUUCUUAGAGCUAGUAGGUAAUGGAACUCCUCUAGUCUUGUUGUUUUUCAGAAUUUCAGAAGAUCUAGCUCCUGGGCCAGCCUGCACUACUGAUCUUCCACUAUUCUCCACUGGUUGUGUCCUCACUCUAACCAUGUCCUGUGCAUCUCCUCGAGGAGCACAAGGUUGAUCAUAACAUAUUCCAGAGUCAAGACAAAAUUGGGAUGCAUCUCCUCGAGGCUCCAGAAGCUGCUCUUGCUCUGUUCUUGGUACAGUCUCAAAUGCAUCAUGCCGAAAAGAUCCUUCACCAGUGUUUUGUUCCAACGCUCGAUCCACUGGUUCUGUCCUCGGUCUGCUCUCGAGUGCCCCUUCGGAAACUCCAUCUUCUGGUGCUCUCGUUCCAGUCAUGCUUACUACGUCAUUUCCUGCUAUUGCAUGUGAAGAAAUCCUCUGCUCCCCUACUGCGGGUUUUACAACCUGAACUUCUCUUUGUACCCUUCCAAUACCUCCUACCAUUGUUGAAAUUCCACAAUCAUUAACAUCGAUUGAACUUGCUGUGAUUUUAUGUCUUUUGUUGCCACCACACUUAGCUUUCCAGACUGCUUCUUGAACUUCUUUAGGCACCCCACGACAAAUGGCAACACCACGCCCUUCUUCUCCUGACAAAUGCCAUUUAAUCCUUGAAAUGGCAGUAUCCUUGGCAUAUGUAUGUGGACAAAACUUACACUUCAUCCUACCAUCAGCCCUAUAUUCAACAUAAUUCCAAAAUGGAUCCUUUGAUCCAACCAUUUCAACCUAUAGGAAAAAAAGGAGGGGGUCAAAAUAUAGAAUAAAAAUUGAUGCAAGUUACACCAUAUCCCGAUGGAUGAGAAACUACUUCUUCAGUGUUGUUACCCUUAUUUUGAUAUUAAAAUUGAUAGUUAGUUUAUUGCACAAUCAUAGGGGGGGAAAGACAACGAUAAUUCAAUUAUACUUCUUACUUGUUGAGUAUUUAAACCCCUAAUUUGACUUUGCAGGGAAGUCUCAAGGCCAGGAUUUUGCAAUCCUCGGACUUGGACGUUAUACAUCUGUGACCUGUAUAAAAAUGAAGUGAUCAUAUUAUAAAACCAAAAAUCAAUGGUGUAUUUAAUUAUAAAAAUGAAGUGAUCAUAUUAUAAAACCUUUCAAUAUUUGGUAGCCUCUCUUAAGCAGUAAAUAUCAAUGGUGUAUCUAAUUAUCAAAAAGGUGUUAAUACCGUGUUAAAACACAACAGCUAGAAGUCAAUCAGUACCUCGUAGAGUUGCCAGAGUUUCGAGGCACGAAGUUCUCUUGUUGCAUAUUGUCUAUGUCAGGAAUUACAGCAGCUUGAUCGUCUUGUCCUUGAUUAGAAAGAAAUUGAAUCCUGAAUCCAAAAUCAUUGGCAAGCAUUAUGAAGCAUUACAAACUUAUGAUUAUCUAGCUGGGUUCAUGUUCAAGCUAUGAUGGUACUUUCCUCUUUGAAAAACUAUUUCUUUUUUUUUUUACAGCAAAUACUAAAUAUGAAAAAUUGGAUACCAGGGAGCAGGAAAAGAAGGUCCAGAUUGAUUGAAGCCACCAUGUUGUGAAGUGGUUACAUUCGGUGUCAUAUAGCCAUGUCCCUUCUGAGCUUGAUGAAUAAAGGAGUUCUGAUGCCUGAAUAAUAUUCAAAUAGUUAAACACAGAACUGUUAUUGUCACAAAAAAGAGAGAUAGAGAGCUCAAAAAGACUUGAAAGAUCCUCGACCUCGUCAAUUUUGGUCAAGUUUAUUGUUUUCAUGAUUAAAAAAGUGUAUAUUCGAGGUUAAUACCAUUGAUUCAAUGGAGGUUGAGGUCCAGGUAGCAUCCCAGGCACUUGAUUGCUCAUAAUUGGUAACUGAUAAUUAGUCCAUUGUUGGUCCCUAAAUUAGCAACAUUUAUUAGUGAUUUCUUUAUACAUAUGCAUAGUUCUUUGCUAUUAAUCCACUAAGCAUUUGAUAUCAUUUUAGCUUACCUCAAAGGCAUUGAUGGUCCAGGUACCAUGGGAUUGGCACAUUGAGGAUCAAAUAAAUUAGGAUUAGGCUGAUACCUAUAUUCAAACAUAAUGAAUUCACUGAUAAGUACAACAACAAGAGGAAGAAGAAGAAGUUAAAUACUGAUUGAAAAACUUUUUUUUUUCAGAAAAUACUAAAUAUGAAAAAUUGGAUACCAGGGAGCAGGAGAAGAAGGUCCAGAUUGAUUGAAUUCACCAUGUUGUGAUGUGGUUGCGUUCGGUGUCAUAUAGCGAUGUCCCGUCUGAGGUUGAUGAAUAAAGGAAUAAUGAUGCCUAAUUCAAUGGACAUUGUAGCAAAUUGGAGUAAGCAUGAGUACUCACCAUGGUUUCAGGAAAUGAAGUUGGAAACUGAGUUGUUUGUUGAAUACUAUCGUUGAUCUCAUUGUUCUGUCCACCUUGAUCAUUGCAUAAUAUGGAGCCUUGGUUGACUGGAACCUCCGGUGCUGGCCUGCUUCCAUGGAAUAAAAUAGAGGAUAAACAGAAGAAUAACUAAAUUGCAAGCAAUCAUCUUCUGAUAAAAUAUGCUUAAGAAUGACGUACGAGAGAAGUUGUGAUUGAAGAUCGAAAAGAUCAUCAUCCAUAGAAGAUGGUUGGAACCCUUCCAUCUGACCAAAAGUACAGGAUGAUUAGUACAUCCUGAGGUGAAAAAAGAACAGAAAGUACAAAGCAAAGAAAAAAAAAAGUAUAUAUAUAUAUAUAUGGCAGUCCCAUUAAUUGGAAAAGAAAAGGGUGAAUCUAAAAUAAGGAGUUAAAAACACUACUUUACCUAAACAAUUAUGAAGCUUAGAAGAAGAUGCCUAGAAAAUGUAAACACAUGAAUAUGAGAAACAAUAAUAUACUUUUCUUUUUAAUUUUUUUUAUUUUAAAAAAAUUAAAAUAAUAUUUUUUUUAUUUUUUAAAAUUUAUUUUUAAUAAAAAAAUAAUAAUUUAAAAAGAAAAAUAAUCAAAGUUUUUGAAAAGCAUGUGCUCUAACAAUAACAGAUUAAAUAUGUGAUUAAAGGUUUUCAGUCGAUGCCAUUACAUGCAGUCAAAGACUCCAUCCUUACUUUUAAUAAACAAAACCUACACUCAAUAAUAUGUCCUAGUAUUUUUGGCCAGUGUUUUUCCGUGGUUGGAUUAAUUUUUUUAAAAUAUAAAAAUAAAAUAUUAAGAGUGAAGAAAGUUUGUUUGCGAUAUUAUUAAACCUGUUCAAGAAGUUAAUAUUAAAAUCUUCUAACCUAACUUUUUAUUUAAUUUAAAUUUUUAAUUAAAUUAUAUGAGAAUUAACUUAGUAUAUCCAAAUACAACUUAGAAAACUAGAAAAACAUGGUUUAGCUUUUAAAAAAACUUCUAGACAACAACUUUUUAAAAAAUAUAUAUUGAAACAAUGACAAAUUUGACCCGGUCCCUCGCAACCUGGGUCAUGAAUUCUAUUGGGUUUAGUAAUUUUUUAUAAGCUUUUUUUUAUUUAAUUAUAUGAUAAAAAUAGAUACUCAUAAAAUUGAGUAUCAUCCCUAGCUAAAAUAAAUAUUUAUUUAAGAUUUUGAUAACCCUAUAGAAAGCAAACAAAAAUAAAUUAUUUAGUCUAUUUCCAAACCAAUCUAAUAUUGAAAGAUAAAAUUAAAAAAAAUUAAAAAAAUUAAAAGAUAGAAACAAAAAAAAAACAUAUUCGAUCAAUGGGUAAACCUGUCUAACUUGUGAAUCAGGUAAUUUGAGCUAGCACAUUAAAUCUAUGAACUGGGUUAUGGACUUAACUAGGAUUAUAAUUUUUUUUAAAAAAAUUUUAUUUAAUAAUAUCAUAAUAAAAAUAGAUAAUUGUAAAAUUAAAAACCAACCCAAUAUAUAUUGGCUAUAUGACACCGAACGCAACCACUUCACAACAUGGUGGCUUGAUGGAGUUUGAGGCCAAUUUUAUAUAAAACUUAAUGAUAAAAACAUAUCAUAAAAAAUGUCUAAAUCUCACCAAUUGUUGUCUGUUUGUUUAACAGUAAACAAUUUGAAGAUGCUCGAGAUCGAUACACUAAACAUAAAACUUUUUGCAUAAUACAAACACUUGCUAAUUCAAUGGACAUUGUAGCAAAUUGGAGCACUCACCAUUGUUUCAGGAAAGGACGUUGGAAACGGAGUUGUUUGUUGAAUACUAUUGUUGAUCACAUUGUUCUGUCCACCUUGAUCAUUGCAUGAUAUGGAGCUUUGGUUGACUGGAACCUCCGGUGGCGGCCUGCUUCCAUGGACAGUGACGACAUUAUAUUGUUUUUUGGGAAUAAUAGGAUAAACUGAAGAAUAACUAAACUGCAAGCAAUCAUCUUCUGAUAAAAUAUGCUUAAGAAUGACGUACGAGAGAAGCUCAAGGUCGGGCAAUAGUGAUUCAAAGUUGUCAACCUCCUCCAUAAAAGAUGGUUGGAACCCUUCCAUCUGACCAGAAAAGAUCAGAAAAAACAAAAAAACUGAGGUCUAAAAAGAACAGAAAGCACAGAUCAGAAAAGAAUAUAUAUAUAUAUGUGUGUGUGUGUGUGUGUGUGUGUGUGUGUGAAUGACUUUCUUGUUGGUUAAAGAAAUUCGGAUGAAAAAUAUGAAAUAUAAAUGUUGUUGUUAAUGAUUUAAUCCUUUGUCUUUUAAGAUAAAUUAUGAUACUCAAAUUCUUUUUAUGAUAGAUAGAAAGAUGCAGGAUAACUGUUGAAGGUAGAAGAGCUGAUUGUUUUGACGGGGUGAACAAAAACCUCUUUCAACUCCUCUUUAUUCAUAAUUUGGGGAGCAAAACAAAUGCAAGAUUCAUUGUUUACUGUUAAACAAACCUCUUUCAACUCCUAUUUAUUCUUUUUUAAUUAUUCUUAUUUUGUUUAUUGAAAGGUAAUUACCGAUCAAGUUAAUUCAUUGAAUCAUUGUACGAAAAAAAGUUGAAAAAUAUUGAAUAAAAAUGAAUGGCAGUCCCAUUAAUUGGAAAAGAAAAGGGUGAAUCUAAAAUAAGGAGUUAAAAACGGCAAAGAAUCUUGAAAAGACGAAAACAAAUGAAUUCAGUAUUGAUUUAGUAUGAACUCUCUCCACAAGGCAUGGAUUAUAAAAUCCGAGAAAAAGAUCAAUUUGUUUAUCAUGGAUUCCUUUAAAGAUUCAAACCAUACUUACAUAUAUAAAAACAAAAACACCAACAAGAUGAAGUACAAAUAAUUUACCAACAAGAUUCAAGUGCUGGUUUGCUUGAGCAGUGAUCAGCCAAAAGAAAAGGAAGAGAAAUCACAGAUCACAGAUCACAGAUCACAGAAGAAUAUAUGGUUUAGAAUAUAUGGAUUUUGUAUGGUUUUCUUUGCUUUGGUUUUUUUUAAGCUGCGUUUUAUCCUUCAUAUGACUUUAUGCUAUAUUAAGAUAUUGUAUAGCUUCUGAACUAUUCCCUUCAGGCUUUGACACUUAUAUAAUAUACGUAUCUUUCAAAAAAAAAAACAGAAGAAUAUAUGGUUUAGAAAAAUAAUAAAGUUGCAGCAUACAUAAAUCUAGUUCGCACUGAUCAUGAGAUGUGGAAAGGAAAAUAGGAAUUGUAUAAUGAGAUGAGAUGUGGAAGAGAAUGUUACAGCAGCAAGGUCGCCUCAAUAAUAAUAAUUAAUUAACGUAUUGUUUGCUAGGAAGAAAGUUGCCAGGAAGCAACCCAAACAUUACAUUAUAAGAUAUAGACAGUUAACGUGUGGACCCGUCCCAAUAGUGACACUUCGAAGAAGCUGCCAAGAAAAUGUAAACACAUGAAAUUUUCAAAAAAAAAUGGUAUAUUUAUGCAUGUUGUAAAUUUUUUUUAAUUUUUUUAAUUUAAAAAUAUAUUAAAAUAAUAUUUUUAAUUUUUUAUAUCAUAAUAUCAAAAUAAAUAAAAAAAAUAAAAAAUUAAAAAUAAAAAAAAAACACAUUGCGACUGUAAAGAUAAAUCAGUUUUGACAAGGCUAGAUUAAGUGUGCAAAUGAGAGUGAGGCUCCAAAUCUAAUUACGCAGGAAUUACUAAUUCGGAUAAUUUUCCAUCUUUUUCCGAGUUUUUCGGUUAAAAAUAUAAAGAUUUUUGUGGUGAUUGUAGCCCAACUUUGGGGUAUCGAGUCUCCACGGAGACAAAUUAAAAAAAUAAAAAAAAAUACUAUUUUAAAUGAGUCCAGGCUGGUUCAAAGUGAAUUUCACGACUCCUGGGCCUUGACUUUUCUGUGAGAGCUUCAACUCUACAUUGGAAUGUUUUUUCUUAAACUGUGAGAGCCUCAUAAUAAGCAUAAUGAGGGAAUUUUUACUAAACUAUUAAAUCUUAACAUAAAAGGGAAUUUUUACUAUUUAUCCACGAAUGAUACAAAAAUCUAUACUUUUUAUUAAAAUGAAUUCCUGAACCUAGUCGAAGAACUGUGGCAAAAACAGUUGAAGGAUUCCAACCUAACACAUGAAUGGGGUGGUUAUAUUUUGUCUUGUAUACCUGUGAUUAUUUUUACUAUAUGAUUUCGUUAUGAAGUGAGAUUCACCACACCAGUUAAUUAAAUUAUUUUUAUUUACAUAAAAUUUAUAUUUUUUUAACUUUUACUAUAUGAAUUCGUUAUGAAGUGAGAUUCACCACACCAGUUAAUUAAAUUAUUUUUAUUUAGAUAAAGUUUAUAUUUUGUUAACUAAUAUUAACAAAUUACAGUGUAGAAAUCUUAAAUUGAUUGAUGAAUGAUUUUAUUUUUCAAGUUAUCAUUUAAGAUUUUAAUAUAUUUAAUAGUUCGAAAAUUACAUUUAUUGUUGAAACUUUAAAAAUUAUGAAGAAAUUAUAGUUUCAUUGGCUAAGAAAUGCAGCAUGCCCACUUGGAAUUAUACGUCAUCCAAAUUCCAGGGUAAAUAAUAAUUCCAGCAUUAGAUUAAUUAAUUACACUUUAUUGGUUAUUUUUUUAGAUACAAUUUUAAAGAUGAAGAGAUACAAUCAAGGUGAAAAUAUUUUUAUUAUUUUUUUGGCUUUAGAUUAAUAUUUUUUUUAGUAUUUUUAUAUCAUUUUGAUAUACUAAUGUAAAAUAUAAAUAUUAUUUUAAUGUAUUUCCAAAUAAAAAAAACUUUGAAAAAAAUCAUUACUACAAUAUUAAAUAUUAUCUUAGUCCAUGAUAGUAUACUUGCCUUUCCAAUUUUCAAGAAAACAAAUAAAAAUAAAAUUCAAGACUUGUGUCUGCUUGACAACAUGGUAUAGUAUUGUACAAAUAGAUUGAAGAAAGAGGAGGCCUACGCAUUUAAUUUGGACUUCCUCGUGGAUGCUAUUCCUUCAAAUAUGGACUAAAAUUGUUUUAUAUCACAGCUAGGCAGAUAGCAAAAGUCUAUUAGAGAGAGGGCAGAAAGCCUUAAUUAGGAAAUAACUUCAUAUUCUGGGGGUAGAAACCCCACGAACGCAAUCAAGCAUUGGCUUCAAACAAAGAAGAGGGAGCUUCAGUGCAGUAGGAAACUUCAACAUUCAUUGUGGUCUAUUCAGGAACGUAGUGCAAAUCAUAAUUUUUUAAAAUUUGAAAUUUUAAAAAAUAAAAAUUAUUUUGUUUAUAUUUUCAGAUUGUUUUAAUGUGUUGAUAUCAAAAAUAAUUUUUUAAAAAUAAAAAUAUUAUUUUAAUGCAUUUCUAAACGAAAAACACUUUAAAUCAUAAUCGCUACUAUAAUCCCAAACAUACCCUUAUGAUUUGCUAUCCAAUCAGCACAUCAAUUCUCCAUUAAUACAAAGAUGUUUUUUUUUUUCUUGUCUGGAAAUUAUCAACCAAUAACUUUCUAUCUUUUUUCAAGUUUUUCGGUGAUUUUUUUAUCUCAUAUUCAUGAACUAAAAAAUAAAUAAAAUAAAAUUUUACAUCAAAAUUAAAAAUCAAAAUCAAAAUGCAAAAUGCAAAAGCUUUAGGGACCAAAAUUUUAAAAAACACACCUAGGCUUAUGACCCGGGAUAUUAAAUCGAAAUAACUCUAUAAAAAAACGAAGAAAAUCAUGAAACUCAAGGCCACAUAUCCUAAUAUUGAAGGACAUUGAAAAAAAAGAUAUUUUUUAAAUGACCUGAAAAAAAAUACUAAAAGUUAAUCAAACUAAUUUUUAAAACUCGUGACUUGGGUUGUGAAACCAAGAUCACCUAGAAAACAAAAAUGAAAAAACUUAAAACUAAAAAUAAAAUUGGAUGGUACCAUAAUUAAUGAAAAAAGAAAAAGAGAGGAUAAUAACCCUGGUUCGUAUUUGAAGCUCACAAGUCAUGAAGGUUGGUGUCCGUCCCUUUACAUCAAUGGGACCAUAAUUAAUGGGUAAGUGUAAAGUUGUCAUCUCUCAUGCAAGUGGCUCGCACCAAGUAGGUUGUUAAAAUCGUGAUUUUAACACGGUACGGAAAACAUUACACAAACUCGAAUCGUAAAAACGGAUUGUAAAAUCGUAAAAUCAUAAGGAAUUUUAAAAUACAUUAAAAAAAAAUUUAUGUUCCAAAUAAAAUUUCAUACAUAGUUCAAGCACCUUAAAAAACAUACUUUAAAUAAAAAUUCAUACAUAUUUCAAGCCUUCAAAACUACAGCUAAAGAAGAAGCAAUGAGCCAUAUAGUGAAGCAUAAAGAUUCCCCAAGGGCAUUACAGGCCUCCAAAUCUGCAGAUGGAUCUUAUAGAGUUGGUAACAAAGGAAAGAAAAAUGCUCCUCCUGUCGAUCUCAAGGAGUCUCUUAAAGUUCUUGCUAAACUUCAUGAAGCACCUUGGUAUUAUAAUGAAACUAAAGAGCAUCCAAGAUCAUCAUAUGAAUCAAAAGAUGGAUCUUGGCAUACAAUUCCAAAAGAUGCUGCUCGGUUUUCCUGUGAUGGGUGGGGGAUCAAUCAUUUGUCAUUUGAAUCUCGAGAUACCAUCAAGUCCACCCCAAAACUAAAAGAGCUUCCAAGACUUUCACUGGAUAGUAGAGUAAUUUCAGUGAGUGGAUCCAACAUUGAUUCUAGAUCAAAUUACCUUUCAAAAGAUCUAGAAAGCAUCAGCAACUCAAAUGAAAAGAUCUUUACUCUGCAGCAAUCACUGAAAACUCAGAAACAGCCAGGUUUGAUCAAGAACUCAUUGGUGGAACAUGAUGAUUCCUUCUCGAAAUCAUUGAAAACAAACGAUCCAAACCGACCAAUCCAUAUUCUGAAGUCUCAGAGAAACUCGGUGAAAGAUCCAAUAUCACCCCGGUGGAAGAAUCCAGAUUUGGUCAUGAAACCCAAUUCAAGGCUGCCAAUUGAACCAGCACCAUGGAAGCAGCUGGAUGGAAGUCGAUGUUCUUUGAAACAACCUUUCAAGCCUGAAAAAGUUCCUGGGAAGACACCAAAUUUGUUCCCUUCAGUUUAUCUGUUCCAAGCAGCACAGGACCUUCUACAUGUGCUGGAGCCAAUACGCAGAAAACAAACUCUAACAUCAUAAUAAUUAUGAUCAGGUCACUCAAUUGCAAUCAGCCUCAUCACUCUAUCAUAUGUAUAACCACAAAGUAAUUUCAUUCAAAAUCAACAGAUAGGUCAUCACCGAAACAGAUUAGAGAAAAACAUACUUGUAAGAAAACUCAGGUAUCCCAGAAACUGAAAUCACAUGACUCCUCUUAAAUCCUUCCAGCCACAAGGGCACCCUGUUUCUUCCGGCUUUCACAGGUGACUCUGGAUCAAUGGUCGAGUCAGACAUAACAUUACAUGCAUCUGCACCAUUAGCCCGGAUAGGGAUCUUCGCCGCCCUCCUAGAAUUGCUACUUCCAAUCUGCGACCGUGUAGAGAAGAGAAGAGAAGAGAAGAGAAGAGAGAAGACUGAUAUCGGUGAAGAGAAGAGAAGAGAGCCUUCGAUCUGUUAGAGCCAAUAGGAGCGCGACACGUGGCAACAACAUUGAAUUAAAGUUUCCUGCGGGCAAACUCGUUCAAUCGGUGGUGAAAUCGCGAUUUUAUACGAUUUCACCCAAUUUUAAUGAUUUGACCUAAUUUUACUCAUUUCCGAGUUUUAUAUACGAUUUAGCAUGUAAAACCUAUAUUAACUCGUAAAAACGUACAAUUUUAAUAGUUGAAUCGCGAUUUUAACAACCUUGGCUCGCACCAUUUAAGAGAUCGAAGAGACUCUGUCUAGCCAAAAAGGUCGUACAUUAAUCUAUCCAUUCCAUCAAGUGGCGAAAUAGAACUCCAGGUGUUGAUAUCUAUAAAUGGUCACCAAACAAGUUGAAUGGUUAAAGAAAAAUUAGUUUUAGUUAUCUUCCAUUAGAAAUAUAAUUUUGGCCCCAAGAACUGAUCCAGGUGUUGUUCAUGUCUGAAAGGGAAAAAAAAAAAGCUUAAUGGAAUAUAAAUUUCUGCAGAAUUGGAGAGCUAAGCUCUGUUUAAGCUGUAGCGAAUACUGUCUUAACUCAAGCAUUCAUGAGUUGAACAAACUAGCCUUUCAUUUUUCUGUUGUUCUGCUAUUCCGGACUUUAUGUCUUUAUCUAUGUUAAAAAAACAUUUCAAUUCAAUAAUUUAAAUUAUUACGUGAAGUUUUAAGAUAUAAUUUAUAUUAUUUUUUAAUACACUCUUUUAAGUGAAAGCCAUUUGGGCUUGCAGACUCAUAUUAUCUUAUGCUUAAUUUUUAUCAAAUAAAUAAGAAUGAUGAGAUUCGAACUAGGCUUCCAGACCCAUAUUACCUUAUGCUUAAUUUUUAUCAAAUAAAUAAGGAUGAUAAAAUUCAAACUCGUGACCGCUUGGUCAUUAAAGCUCUAAUACAAUAUCAAAGAACCAUCUCAAUCCAAAAGUUUAAGCUGUUAAGUAAGGUCCCAAUAUAUGAUUUAAAUUAUUCUCUAACACACCCCCUCAAAUGAAAGCAUAUAAUUUAUAUUAUUCUCUAAUACACUUCUUCAAGUGAAAGCCCUUUGAGCUUGCAGACCCAUAUUAUCUUGUACUUAAUUUUUAUCAAAUAAAUAAGGAUGAAGAGAUUCGAACUGGACUUACAGAUCCAUAUUACCUUGUUCUUAAAUUUUAUCAAAUAAAUAAGGAUGAUGAAAUUCGAACUCGUGACGGCUUGAUCAUUAAGGCUUUAAUACCAUAUUAAAGAACUAUAUCAACCCAAAAGUUUAUAUUAUUAGAUAAGGUCUCAAGAUAUGAUUUAAAUUAUUCUCUAAUACACCCUCUCAAAUGAAAGCUCUUUGGACUUGAAACUUAUACAGACCUAUAUUACUUUAUACUUAAUUUUUAUCAAAUAAAUAAAAUUAAUAAAAUUUAAAAUCAUAACCGUUUAGUCAUUAAAACAUUUAUAUUAUUCUAUAACAACUAAAUUUUUUUUUAAACGUAGCCACCCAGUAAUGAGACACCCAACUAGCUAGGGAAACGAUGAACCUCUUUUUGACGGCCUUGUAACCAAGCAGAUUGGAAAAAAUAACCAUGCUCCUAGCCCAAGCCCACCAACAUCACCCCUAGCAGAUUGAAAAAAUGCUCAUAACCAUUUCGGAGAAAACACACCCAGACUAUUAUGAAAGUGGAAAUAAAUGGAUAUUAAUCAUCAAAUAAAUCGUUAGCAGAAACCAAAAAAAAUAAAUAAAAAAUGUUCAUACCACUCCAUCUUAUUGAUGGGAAUGACUUCUGACCUGCAUACAUAUGCAAGGACUCCUGCUAAAAUUAUCUGAUAAAUUAUCAUGAAAAAACUUAAUAAAUCAGAAAAACAAUUAUGAAAUGCUUCGUAAAUUAAAUGAAAUGGAGAAGAAAACUCAGGAAAUAAAUGUUCAAUUCACUUUCAAGCUGACAAUAAAAAAUGAAAGCAUUUCUAUUCAAUAAUAUUUCUUGGCUCACAAAUAAGCUGGCAAGAAUUAUAUGAAAAUCAAAUCUCCCCAAUCACAUGGUCGUAUAAAAUACUUAGCACUCAAAAAGAAAAUUUAUAGGUCAACUCUGUUCAACUGUGCAGGUGGACAACAAAUUUACAAUCCAAGGAAAAAAAUUAGAAAGCAUUCCUCAAACAGGUUGGAAAAGAUACCAGAGAAGAUUAUAAGCAAUAGUAGCAGAAAAUAUAGAGAGCAUUAUUGUGCAGAAAAAUGUGAUAUAAUUACAAGAAAAGCUCAUCCUAACUUCCUUGGCUAUUGCUUAUGAUGGCAGUUUCAGGUUUAGAAACCAAAACUCAUUCAAUAGAAAAUGAAUGUUCAGUUCAUAAUCUCUCAGAGGCAUUUAAUAGAGAAUCUUAGCCUUUCCUCAUUUGAUCUCCUUAGUGCAUACUACUUCAUAAAACUCAUUUAACAGAGUUUCUCAGUUAUUUUCCCAAACCGAGUUGAUAAACAAGAAUUAGCUUUUGAUGAAUUAAGCAAGGUUGGAAAGGGGAAGAGAGCUACAUCUUGUGUUCUUACUUAUCCAUCUCUUAACCACUUCCUAUGGAUAAGCCAAUUAGGGCUUAGCUUAGUGAUUUCAACGAAUUAAAAUAUUUUUAAUUCAAGUUUUGAUAGCUGGAAACAUGGGAUUUGUUUAUAGCCAGUGACUAUAUAUUACCAGACAAAAGAAAUUGAUUGGUUAUGUUUCACUGCUCCCUAACAUGGCAUUUUUAAUUAAAUUAAUAAUAAUAAUAAUAAUAAAUGCUUUUCACUUGCUCUAAAAUCAUAGUUUCUUCUUUGCUUGAUAUAUAUAUAUAUUUUUUAUUAGUAUUUAGAUUUCACAAGGCAACCCACUUCUCUUUUUUUAUUAUUACUCACAGAACCGCUUGUUCUAAACUGCUAGCAGGUUGCCUCUCUGAGUUUGGCUAAGGUUAUUAAUGAGUUUCUUCCCAUGAUGUUAUUGUUUAAUGUAUUAUUUUAAUUUUUAGGGUUUAAAUGAUCCAUUUAUGACCAACCUAAAAAGGUGAAAUUAAGUUGAUCAUCCAGAAUGUAUAUAAAAAAAUCAAAAAUAAAUUUAUUAUAUAUAUAUGCACCUCGCUCGAUAAUUCUUUAUAAUUUUAUUAAUCAAGAAAAUAUGACUUUGCAUGUGCGUCGGACAUGGCGAUAAGAUUUAUGCUGAGGAUAAACAUAAGAUUUGGUGGAAAAAAGAGAUUAACGCGUUUUAAGAGGCAACUUGUACUAUAAUAAUGGAUUUAAAUAGAAAUCAUCGACGGAUUUGAAUACAAGGCAAAACUAAAAUGUUUUAUGCAUUAAAGACGUCACUAAAGAAAACAAUAAGGACCCAAUCGUGAAUUGGUUAUAAGUUGGGGGCUUGUACGAAGCUAGCCCUUAUCCAAACCAAUGAAGCAAGUGGGAUAUAUCCAAUUUGCUAAAGUGGUGGGUGCCUAUGUAGUGCUACGCUGUAUUUUGAUUUAGAAUUCAGCUUAUUGAUUCAAAUGUAUUCAAUAACUUCAAUUAAUUUAAUAAUAUAUAUAUAUAAAUAAAUAAUAAAAAAACCAACAAUGAUUAAUUAGAAAAAAUAAACUUUUGUCAAUAUUAUAAAAAGAUACCCUCUAAUUAUUUUUUAAAAAAUCUUAACGAUCUUAUUUCAUUACAAUAUAAAAAUUCAAUGUAAAUGAGAUAAUUUUAUGAAAUAAAAAAUAAAAAAAUAUAACGUUUAAUUUCUAGAAAAAUAUUAAGUUGAAAAAUAAACUAGAAAAACACAUCAAUUUAAUAAAUAAAAAAACACGACUCAAAUUAGGAUACCAAAUCAUGACCAGGAUAAACCUACGUAUAAAAAAUCAAAUAAAACAAUAGGAAUCAACUCUAAGCAAACUAAAUGAACUCCUAUACUAAAGGCAGAAGGAUUUAGAGCAACAUUCUUCCCGGCAACAAUGCCAGCUUACUACAGAACUCCUCCUGUCCAAUCCACUCAUGAUAGAGAAACAGGGAAAUAGUUGUUUAUUUUAUUGGUAAAGGAACCGAUUCUUAUCAGCUGAAUUUAUGAAGAAUGAGGUACAACAUGAACAAACAUGAAACAAUCCUCAUGAUGUACCACAUGAAACGAAUAAGAUGAAUCUCAAAAUUGUAUCUCCAUUGUAUUUUGAGUUUUCCAAAAUAAUAAUAAAAAAAAUAAUAUAUGUAAAUGUUGUUUUUAAUGAUCAUGAAUCCAUUUAGUUAAAUAACGUUGAGAAAGGGUUUUGAUAGUUAUUGCACACAAACAUGAAAGAGCUUUGUCUUCACGAUUUGACUCCAGAAAUAGUCAUCCGAUUCCAGAUGAAAUAUAUAUUGAUAAAAAUAAUAAAUAAACAGAGCAAUCAAUAAACUAAGAGAAGAAGAAGCUAUAAGGUUUCGAAGAUAACAAUAAAAAUAUGGAGUGUGAAGGCAUCAAGAAAACCUUAUAUCUGAAAUUGCCAGAAAUGGAUGAGGUGUUCCUCUCUAAACGUUACACUUGUCUUCAUCUUCAGUUUCCAACUUCCUCAAGUAUGCUACUUCUUUUCCUUUAACUGUUACUGGAGCUGCACGCCAAACACCAAAUCCAUCGAGACCCGGUUGCUGUAGUACGAGGAUUUGCAGGUGAGGGAGUUUAGGCAAUAUCCCGGUAGGAAACAUCUUCUGACCGCAUGCAUUGAGUCCAGGAUACCUGGGGUUGGAUAGACAUUCCAUGGCUUAAGGAAUCAUUUCUAGUGCAGUACCAUAGAGAUCCAACCUCUAUAGUGCCCUAAGCUUUCUUAAUGAUGGUACAUGUCUUAACAUAUCACAAGCAAUGAGCAAUGAGCAACAAUGCAGAGACUCACCAAAUCGAAGAAAAAAUUAGGCAAAUUUCAUAACUUGGAGCACUUUCCAAUAAGGAGACAUUUUCAAGUUUAUUAAGCAUCGCAUGGCCUUUGUAAACUUCUGCCACCCUACUCUGCCGUUUUAUAACUCCCUCAUCAAUCAAAUAAGCUAUCAAAUCCUCUCUAGUGAAUACAUCCUCGUCCAUAUCAUCUUGCCUAACUCUUGAUUGCCUCAGGUCCUCUAAAGCAUUCCUCCACUCGUUUAUGCCAUCCACCCCCUUCAUGGCUCCAGCCAUUGUUAUAAUUCCUAGCGGAAAACCAUCACACUCCUUUGUGAUAGAUUUUGCAAUUUGUUCCACUUCUGGACAAAGUGUUAUGUCAUGUCCGAGUCUCUUAAUAAACAAAGUCCAAGCCUUUUCCUCCAAAAUAGGCUAAAUAGGCUUCACUUUGAUCAUGUGUAGGGUAUUUAUUUGUUGACAAACCUUUUUUGAUCGAGUUGUAAGAAUAAACUUGCAUCCUUUAACUUUGACAAGAACUCCCAGCUUCUGUAACUCAAUAGUGUUCCACAAAUCAUCUAAAAUCAAAACCCAUUUCUGUAUCUUCAUUAAUUCUUUUCUCAUUUCAACUGCUCCUCGUCUUCAUUAAAAAGAUUUAAACCAAUACAUCUUCCGAUACUGCCCUGCAAUUUUUUAAUGCUGGUAUCUUGUGAAACAGUAAUCCAGUAAACAUGAGAGAAAGUAUCUGGUCUACAUAGAAGCUGAUUAUACACAUGCAUCACCAAAGUUGUCUUCCUCACUCCUAAUAAUAAUAGCUUUUUAAAAGCAACAAUAAAAAUUUGAUAUUCGGGUUAGUGAUUGGAAUCGAUUCAAUAAACUCAAUUAAGUUAAUAUAUAUAUACACACACACACAAUUGAUAAAAAAAAAAACCAAUAAUGACUAAUCAUAAAAAAUAAACGCUCGUCAGUAUUAUAAAAAGAUACCCUCUAAAUAUUUUUUUAAAGGUCUCAACGAUCUCAUUUGAUUAUAGCAUAAAAAUUCAAUGAGAAUGAUAUAUCCUCAGCAAAGCAAAAAUUGAAAAAUAAAUUGGAAAAAAACAACAAUUUCAAAAAAGAAUAAAAAACAUGACUCGAGUUAGGAUGCCAAAUCAUGACCGGGAUAAUCCUGCAUAUAAGAAAUUGAAUAAAACAAUGGAGGUCAACUCUCAAGCAAACUAAAUGAUGAAAGGUAAAACUGAAAAAAAAAAAAAAACAAGUGUCAAUCUGGGUUAAUUCGACUACCUUGUGAUCCAAGAUAUGAGAUCGGAAUAGCCAUAUAAAAAGAAAAGCAAAGAAAAUCAUGAAACUCAAGACCCAAUAACUCAAUAUUGAAGGAUAUUGAAAAAAAUUCAUUUUUUGUAAAUGACUUAAAAAAAAGACUAAAGGUAAAUCAAACUAAUCUUUGAAACUCGUGACUCGGGUCGUGAGACCAAGAUCACCCCACAGAAGGCAACACAAAAAAAAAAUCACGAAGCUAAAUUUCUAAUGAUCAUCUAAUUUUUUUUUAUAAAAAAAAAAUUAAAUGGCAAUCAAAACAUUUAGGAUCAAAUCUAGUGUAAAAACUAAAUGAAAGAAAAUAAUAAGGGACUAAAUCAGAAAAUAAAAUAAAUAAAUAAAUGAUAAAAAAUAAUCAAGAGAAUAAGGAUUAAAUUGAAUAAAAAAUUAAAUAAAAUAAAAAAAAGAGAGAUAUAAUUGAAAAAAAAACUAUAAAAAAAGAAUAAAAAAUAAGAAUAAAAUUGGAUGUACCAUAAUUAAUGUAAAGAAAAGAGAGGAUAAUAACCCUGGUUCGUAUUUGAAGCUCACAAGUCAUGAAGGUUGGUGUCCGUCCCUUUACAUCAAUGGGACCAUAAUUAAUGGGUGAGUGUAAAGUUGUCAUCUCUUAUGCAAGUGGCUCGCACCAUUUAAGAGAUCGAACAGACUCUGUCUAGCCAAAAAGGUCGUUCUUUAAUCUAUCCAUUUCAUCAAGUGGCGAAUAAAUGCUUCUUAAAUUAAAUAAAAUAGAGAAGAAAACUCAUGUAUUAAAUGUUUAAUUCACUUUCGAGCUGACAAUAAAGAAUGAAAGCAUUUCUAUUCAAUAAUAUUUCUUGGCUCACAAAUAAGUUAGCAACAAUUAUACGAGAACCCAAUCACAUGCUCAGCACUCAGAAAGCAAAUUUGCAGAAUAACAAGUCUAGUAAACUUCUUGAUUUAGGGCAACAAGAUAAUAUAAACAAAAUGUAACAGUUGAACUCACUUUCUCUCGAAAAGGAUCCAGAUCCUCUGUCACCAAUAACUCCUGGAUUCCUAUGUCAACUCUGUAUAACUGUGUAGGUGGACAACAAAUUCACAAUCCAAGGAAAAAAAAAUUAGAAAGUAUUCCUCAAACAGGUUGGAAAAGAUACCAGAGGCAAGAAGAUUAUAAGCAAUAAUAGCAGAAAAAUAUGAUAUAAUGACAAGAUAGCUUAUGAUGACAGUUUCAGGUGUAGAAAGUAGAAACCAAAACUCAGCAAACAAAAAAUGAAUGUUCAGUUCAUACUCUCUCAUAGGCAUUGAUUAGUUUACUUUAAUAAUAAAUCAAUAUAGUAUUUGUUUUUGGGAUUUUCAUCUUGGAAAAACUCAAUAGGAUGAAAAUAUAAUAUUAAUCAAACUUCAAAUUAUAAUUAUUUAUCUAUCGAGUUAAAAAAAAAGAUAUGACAAUUCAAUAGUCUUAAUUAAAAAGAUAAUGAAACAAAAAAAAAUGUAAAAUGUUAUUUAUGUAAUUGUAAGCACAUUAUAUAAAAAAGAAGUAUUUCAUAAUAAUAAACGCUCUUUCUUUCUAUGAAUUCAUGUUAGGCUUGAUUCGGCUCUAAAAAAUUAAUUUACUGCUCAGAUUUAAUAUCUAACCAUGUGGCUAAUUUCUAGGAGUUCCUUUUUUGAAAUCCUCAUUCGAGGCUAAUUUGUAGCCCUUCAAGAUACCUUUCCAACGCGUUAAGAAUCACAGCAAUCCUGUGAGUGGAAAGUUAUGAUUAAAAUACUUUUAAGUGUGUGGAGGUUGGUUCAAAGUGAAUUAAUUUGACGACUCCAGCUGGGCCUUGACUUGUCUGUUUAAUUUCUAUUAUUUUUAUUCACAUUUUAGCAUUUUAUUCCAAUGAUCGAAUGCACUUUCAUAGACUCAUCAAAAUCCCAGGAACGCAAUCAAGCUUUAGCUUCAAACAACCAGAGGGAGAUUCAGUGCAGUGGAGAACUUCAACAUCUACUAUGAAGCUUGAUUUGCUAUCCAAUCUGCACACCAGUUUUCAAUUGAUACAAAGAUACUGUAUUUAUUUUUGUUGCCGGAAAGUUGUCGGCCAAUAACUUUUUAUCUUUUCUCAAGUUUUUUUUAUGUGAUUUUUUUUUGCUUUCAUCUGAAACUCGUGAACUAAAAGGUAAAUAAAAUAAAUUUUUUUUUGCUUUCAUCUGAAACUCGUGAAUUAAAAGGUAAAUAAAAUAAAAUUUUAGAAUAAAAUACAAAAUAUAAAAUAUAAGAUGCAAAAAAAUUAUAUGGAUCAAAAUUUAAAAAAUAACGCCUAUGCUACUUUAUAGUUUUAGUAUUAAAUUUGGUUUUAGAAGUUUCACUUAUUUAAAAAAUGUGCUUAUGAAUAUGACAGUUUCAGGUUUAGAAACCAAAACUCAUCUAAUAGAAAGUGUAUGUUCACUUAUACUCUCUCAUAGACAUUUAAUAGAGAAUCUUGGCCUUCCUCAUUUGAUCUACAUCUUGUGCAUAGAAGAAUACUUUCUAGAGCACUGAAAUUUAUGAUGUCUUCAGCUUACAUUUCACCGGUGAUGAAUACUUUUGACUUUUGACUUUUGACUUGUUUACACCGGUGAUGAAUACUUUUGACUUUUGACUUUUGACUUGUUUACGAUGUUUGUUGUGAUUUGGAUCGACCAGAAUUCAAGAAUGUGUCUUCUCUCUCUCUUUUUAAUCUGUAUUAUAUAUAUAUUUUUAAAAUAAUUUAUUGCUAGUUAAUGAUAUAAGAUGAUUUAUAAUAGUGAUUAGAUCUAUUAUUUUAUUAGGUUACUUUAAUGAUAAAUCAAUAUAGUAUUUUAUUUUUAUUUUUUGGAUUUUCAUCUUGGAGAAACUCGAUAAGGAUGAAAAUAUAAUAUUAAUCAAACUUCAAAUUAUAAUUUUUAUCUUGAGUUAAAAAAAAAUAGUCUUUAAUGAAAUAAAAAAAAUGAAAAAUGUUAUUUAUGUAAUUGUAAGCACACUAUAUUAUAUUACUUUACAAAGGGACGAAGGACAUCCUUUGCGUUAGGAUGCUCCCACUCCACUACUGUCUCCCACCAUUCUUUUGGAUAUUGAUUUUUUAAGAGAAGGGGGAGGAGAUGGCUGGCCAUUUUCAAGCAACGGAAGACAAAUUGGCAUCCUCUUCAGCUUCUCACAAUCAUUACAUAAUAUCUUCAAGAGAAUUGCAAAUCAGUUUUGCACUGCAAAUGCUUUUCAGUUCUGGUAAUAUACAAUUCCAGAGUUCUUAACUUUGGGAGAAUGACUUCCGUGAUGGAAUUGGAGGUGCUGCUUUCUUCAUCUGUUGUUCCUAUUAUCUCCUCCAUUUUCUCACAAUCACAUCAAUCCUUUCCAGGUUUACGAGGUUUGGCAACAACACAAGCGGGAACACUUCUUCAUACUUUACAUAACACAAAAAACUCUUUAAGACCAGAAAACGUACCGUUACAUGAUGGCAAUCGUGGUGGAGCAGAGCAGAACCAAGAAGAUGAAACCAAGCUCUCCAUGUUAACACCCGAAUGCUGAUGCGCUCCAGUUCAGUUGCAUUCUCUAAUGACAAAACAUCACAUAAACUUCUUGCAUCGAUGCAUUACAAAUCAGUCCUUGAAUGCCAUUUAAGAACUUGACCUGAAAAUCUCUAUCUCCGUUGAUACUCAAAUUACCCAACCCAACUGUUUUACUUGGAAAAUAUUCAAUGUUGCUCAAUAUCUACCCACCUCUCCUACUAAAAUCUUAUGUGCUUAAUGAUAAUCCCAUCCCGAGAUCUGAGAUACUCCACGAAGUCAGAAAACCUUCGAAAUGGCAUUCCAAAGUUUCCAAAUUUCUCAAGGAUCCUACUUCCUUUCCUUUAACUGUUAUCGGAGCAUAUCUUCCUUCUAGUACAAAGACUUGCAGGUGAGAGAGUUUUGGUAAUAUCCCACUAGGAAACUCCUUUUCACCACAUCCAUUCAUUCUAAGAUACCUCAGGUUGGUUAGGCAUUCCAUUCCUUGCGGCAUCUUUUCAAGCAGUAAGAGAGAUCCAACCUCUUCAGUGCCUGAGCUUCUUUAAUGAUGGAACGUCUUAAUUUCCACUUACUGAGCAAUAAUGCAGUGAGACUCACCAAAUCAGAGACAGAGUCUGGCAAAUUUUCAAUACCUGUGCAAGACAGAUCGAGGACCUUGAGCCCAUGCAAUUGCUUGAAAAAUGAAUCCGCAACAAAUCCCAACCCUUAUUAUCACAUAGAAAUAGAGUUGACAGAUGGACACUUGGUGAAUGGCUGGAAGGAAUUUCUUCGAUCUCGUUUUGCAUUAGUGAAACUCUCGUCAGAUUCUCCGUCCACUCCUCUGCAUCUGGCAACUCUUUUAAUUGCGCACCUGCUUUAACCAUGACUUGAGAGUCUAGCAGUAUUUGGAUGGCCAUGUCCCUAAUCAAGUCAUGCAUCUUGACACUCUACAUACCCAUUUUAGCACUUUCCAAUAGGCAGACAUUCAAGUCUAUUAAGCAUCGUGUGGCCCUCAUCAAAUGCAUCUCCCCUGCUCCUCAUUCCUUUAAUUAUUCCCUCAUCGAUCAAAUAACCUAUUAACUCCAGCCUUUCAAUCCUAUGAUCUUCAGGAAAUAAUGCACAGUACAAGAGACAUUGUUGGAGUGCUAAAUCACCUAGCCGAUCAUAACUAAGCCUCAAUAACUUGAAUACUUUCAUGUCCCUAAAUUCCGAUUCUUUCAAUUUAUUCAAUGUAUUUCUCCACUGAUGGAGGUCAUCCACUCCCCUCAAGCUUCCUGCCACUGUAAUAAUUCCCAACGGCAAACCAGCACAUUCCCUUACAAUAUCUUUCGCAAUUCCUUCCACUUCUGGUGAAAGUGCUAUGUCACGUCCAAGUUUCUCCAUGAACAAAGUCCAAGCUUCU